Long non-coding RNA from Phyllostomus discolor (pale spear-nosed bat), 484 nucleotides. RefSeq lists it as uncharacterized. NCBI's taxonomy places the organism in Eukaryota, Metazoa, Chordata, Mammalia, Chiroptera, Phyllostomidae. The record is from RefSeq and is a predicted model, not a curated record. The transcript is spliced from 2 exons.
UGUCCCAGAAGAAGAGAGCUGCUAUUCUGGAGAGUAAAAAUAAUAAUCGUCCAUGAGAAAUUGGAUUACUGUAGCAGCACACAAUGGCUCCAGCUUCCAGAAACUUUGAGCACCCCCAGCACCCCCAGGAGCCAGCAGCAGCCUUGUCACACUGCCUCACCUGCUGAGCUGUGCCCCUGGGACCAGAGAAGCUGCAGAGCCACACCCCUUUGGGGGAAGCACCAGCCGAAUAGCACCCCCUCCUCAGAGGUCCUAGCUGGGCACAGCCUCCCUCCGAGAUGCAAGCUCUAGCCCCGUGGGGCCCCUCCUCCAGGCUCUUGGGUACAGGCGACACCACCUGUAUGCUCCAGCCUCAGGAGGUAGGAGCUGCUCUCUUGCAGUUCCUAAUCCCUGAGUGACAACCCUCUUCCCUUUUCCUUUUAUACUUUGAGCCUCCUAAUGCCUGUGAAAGCAAUUCUUUCUAUUAAAGCCCUUCUAUUGGAAA